GAUUUCAUCCAAUUACUCAACAUGGCUUAUGCACUUUUCAAAAACUUGGCCUUUGCCAAAAAUCCAUUCUCGGGGAUACCCCGCAAAGGCAUCUUACCGAGACUGCCAAGGCUGUUUUAUUGUCACACACACAAACACAUUUCACCUCUGACAACACAGUCGUUCCUCGGCGUUGGUUGAGUCCCAGUUUCACGUGGUGGCCAGCGUGAAGUGUACUCAAAUCCUACCUCGGGAGUUAUCCUACGCGCCUCUCCAAUCAAGGUAAGCUCAAUAAUUGGGAACCGUGCCCCUCUAAUUAGGCUAGCCCACGGAACCCCCGUCACUGCAGUGCCCACAAAUCCUACCUCGGGAGUUAAUCUACGCGCCUCUCCAAUCGAGGUAAGCUCAAUAAUUGAGAACCGUGCCCCUCUAAUUAAGCUGGCCCACGGAACCCCCGUCAUUGCAGUGCCCACUUUAUAAUCCACCAACCAAUAAAAUCACAAUAGUAUGACAUGGCUCACUUAACACAUUCAAG
RNAcentral lists this long non-coding RNA (514 nucleotides) under Theobroma cacao (cacao). Its description in RNAcentral is "long non-coding RNA (TCAC_LNC000214)". Lineage: Eukaryota; Viridiplantae; Streptophyta; Magnoliopsida; Malvales; Malvaceae. The record is from RNAcentral.